This 209-nucleotide unclassified non-coding RNA is filed under the name Hevea brasiliensis (rubber tree). The record is from RNAcentral. Lineage: Eukaryota; Viridiplantae; Streptophyta; Magnoliopsida; Malpighiales; Euphorbiaceae.
GAAAAGGAAUGCUGUCUGUGACGGCGGAGGUGUUCGAAAUAGCGCCGGAAGUUGCGAUAGUGGAAUUCUCAAAGUCGUCCGGCGAUACUCUGGAAUAUUCGAAGUUCUGUGAAGAAGACGUCCGGCCGGCGCUGAAAGACAUCGUUUGGACGUGGCAAGGUGAAUGUGUCCCUAACGUUGACGGACGUCACGGCCAAUUUGACGGCGAC